This 253-nucleotide unclassified non-coding RNA is filed under the name uncultured Euzebyales bacterium. RNAcentral describes it as "contains 16S-23S intergenic spacer region". It matches the Rfam family "Bacterial small subunit ribosomal RNA", at positions 524 to 776 of the family's 1533-position model. Lineage: Bacteria; Bacillati; Actinomycetota; Nitriliruptoria; Euzebyales. The record is from RNAcentral.
UACGUAGGGGGCAAGCGUUGUCCGGAAUUAUUGGGCGUAAAGAGCUCGUAGGCGGUCCGUCAAGUCGAUAGUGAAAUCUCAGGGCUCAACUCUGAAAUUGCUGUCGAUACUGGCGGACUUGAGGCAGGUAGGGGAAGGUAGAAUUCCUGGUGUAGCGGUGAAAUGCGCAGAUAUCAGGAGGAAUACCGGUGGCGAAGGCGGCCUUCUGGGCCUGUUCUGACGCUGAGGAGCGAAAGCGUGGGGAGCAAACAGG